CAUAUCUAUUUAUAUUUGAAGGGAUUAUCUACUUGGUUUGUCAAUUUUUGACCCACAAGUAUUUUUUAAUAGAUUUUUAAAAAGAAUAUUUUUUCUUCACUCUGCUGAGGGGAAUGUACCCAUGCUUCAACAGUUUUACCCAGGAUACACUUCUGCAAAACCACUCCAGUAUUGGACCAGUUUACCCCACUCUACCAUGGACGUCCUACUUGUGAUGAGGACCUGAACCACCGCCAUGUUAGAGUCACUCUUUCAGGUCUUGUGGAGUAUCCUUCCCGAUUUGCAGGAACCAGCCUGGAUUUGAGGGGACCGGACAGUUCCCCUGCUGUACCAUGGGCGACCUACUAGUGAUGUGGACCUGAACCUCCGCCAUGUAGCAGACACCCCCCCCCUCAGGUCUUGCGGAGUAUCCUUCGCAAGGUGCAGGAACCAGCGUGGAUGAAGGGACCGGACAGUUCCCCUGCUGUACCAUGGGCGACCUACUUGUGAUGUGGAUCUGAACCUCCACCAUGUAGCAGACACCCUCCCUCAGGUCUUGCGGAGUAUCCUUCCCAAGUUGCGUGGAUGUGAAGGGACACGACUGUUCCCCUGAUGUACCAUGGGCGACCUACUUGUGAUGUGGACCUGAACCUCCGCCAUGUAGCAGACAACCCCCUCAGGUCUUGCGGAGUAUCCUUCCCAAGGUACAGGAACCAGCGUGGAUGUCAAGGGACAAGACAGUUCCCCUGCUGUACCAUGGGCGACCUACCACAAUACCACUGCAUCUCUGAAAUGCCAUAUUUUACAUUUUAUCAACUAAUAAUUUAAAGAAAAACCACACAAAACUUCUCAUUUGAAAAAUGUAUUUUUGGAUUAAAAAAUAAAUUGAAAUA
Molecule: long non-coding RNA, 872 nt
Organism: Pseudophryne corroboree (corroboree frog)
Lineage: Eukaryota; Metazoa; Chordata; Amphibia; Anura; Myobatrachidae
Exons: 5
Source: RefSeq, a predicted model, not a curated record